AGUGGGAGCAGGAACUUAGGGAGCUUGCUCCCAGGCGUCGAGCGGCGGACGGGUGAGUAAUGCAUGGGAAUCUGCCCGGUAGUGGGGGAUAACCUGGGGAAACUCAGGCUAAUACCGCAUACGUCCUACGGGAGAAAGCAGGGGAUCUUCGGACCUUGCGCUAUCGGAUGAGCCCAUGUCGGAUUAGCUUGUUGGUGAGGUAACGGCUCACCAAGGCGACGAUCCGUAGCUGGUCUGAGAGGAUGAUCAGCCACAUCGGGACUGAGACACGGCCCGAACUCCUACGGGAGGCAGCAGUGGGGAAUAUUGGACAAUGGGCGAAAGCCUGAUCCAGCCAUGCCGCGUGUGUGAAGAAGGCCCUCGGGUUGUAAAGCACUUUCAGUGGGGAAGAAAGCCUUGGGGCUAAUACCCUCGAGGAAGGACAUCACCCACAGAAGAAGCACCGGCUAACUCCGUGCCAGCAGCCGCGGUAAUACGGAGGGUGCGAGCGUUAAUCGGAAUUACUGGGCGUAAAGCGCGCGUAGGCGGUCUGAUAAGCCGGUUGUGAAAGCCCCGGGCUCAACCUGGGAACGGCAUCCGGAACUGUCAGGCUAGAGUGCAGGAGAGGAAGGUAGAAUUCCCGGUGUAGCGGUGAAAUGCGUAGAGAUCGGGAGGAAUACCAGUGGCGAAGGCGGCCUUCUGGACUGACACUGACGCUGAGGUGCGAAAGCGUGGGUAGCAAACAGGAUUAGAUACCCUGGUAGUCCACGCCGUAAACGAUGUCGACUAGCCGUUGGGGUCCUUGAGACCUUUGUGGCGCAGUUAACGCGAUAAGUCGACCGCCUGGGGAGUACGGCCGCAAGGUUAAAACUCAAAUGAAUUGACGGGGGCCCGCACAAGCGGUGGAGCAUGUGGUUUAAUUCGAUGCAACGCGAAGAACCUUACCUACCCUUGACAUCGAGAGAACUUGGCAGAGAUGCCUUGGUGCCUUCGGGAACUCUCAGACAGGUGCUGCAUGGAUGUCGUCAGCU
This 1010-nucleotide ribosomal RNA is filed under the name Halomonas sp. 15P20. RNAcentral's name for it is "bacterial SSU rRNA". It matches the Rfam family "Bacterial small subunit ribosomal RNA", at positions 65 to 1060 of the family's 1533-position model. Lineage: Bacteria; Pseudomonadati; Pseudomonadota; Gammaproteobacteria; Oceanospirillales; Halomonadaceae. The record is from RNAcentral.